UGGCGAUGAUGAUAAUACUUAGGCUUGUUUCUCAAAACAUUCGCAGUUGCCGCCUAAGAGCUUUCGCCCUGCCAGGCUUGAGAGCUAAUGCUGCUAAUUCCUUCCUUGGAUGUCUGAGCCA
Molecule: non-coding RNA, 121 nt
Organism: Hordeum vulgare subsp. vulgare (domesticated barley)
Lineage: Eukaryota; Viridiplantae; Streptophyta; Magnoliopsida; Poales; Poaceae
Source: Rfam